This 510-nucleotide long non-coding RNA is filed under the name Mytilus galloprovincialis (Mediterranean mussel). The record is from RNAcentral. Lineage: Eukaryota; Metazoa; Mollusca; Bivalvia; Mytilida; Mytilidae.
UGUGGAGUAAGGAUUGUUCUAGGUCAUGGGAUAAAAAUUGUAUAAAGAAAGCACAAAUUUUAGGUAUUGAAAAUGUUAUUAAUGAUACUUUUUCCAUUAAACAUAAACUGCAAGAUAUCAAAUCUAAACUUUGUGAAAAAGAUAAAAAUGAGUGGGUUGAAAAAUUGUUUAAUGACAGAAAUCAAUGUAAUGGUAAUAAAUUACGUAUUUAUAGAGAGUAUAAACAUGUUUUAGAAUUUAGUUCUUAUGUAAAAUUAGUUCGUAACAGGCAGCAUAGACGUGUUUUGUCAAAUUUUAGAAGUGGCUGUUUACCACUGGCAGUUGAAACGGGUAGAUACACCAAGCCAAAAAUUCCUUUAAAUGAGCGCACUUGUAUAUAUUGUACAGAUAAUUGUGUAGAAGAUGAAAAACAUUUUUUAUUAGGGUGCGAUUUUUAUGCAGAUUUAAGAUAUGAUUUAAUGAAAAAAUCUGGUGAUAUUUGUGAUUCUUUUAAUGAUCUUGAUUUACAGG